UACUCUUGACAUCCAGAGAACUUAGCAGAGAUGCUUUGGUGCCUUCGGGAACUCUGAGACAGGUGCUGCAUGGCUGUCGUCAGCUCGUGUUGUGAAAUGUUGGGUUAAGUCCCGCAACGAGCGCAACCCUUAUCCUUUGUUGCCAGCGGUUCGGCCGGGAACUCAAAGGAGACUGCCAGUGAUAAACUGGAGGAAGGUGGGGAUGACGUCAAGUCAUCAUGGCCCUUACGAGUAGGGCUACACACGUGCUACAAUGGCGUAUACAAAGAGAAGCGACCUCGCGAGAGCAAGCGGACCUCAUAAAGUACGUCGUAGUCCGGAUUGGAGUCUGCAACUCGACUCCAUGAAGUCGGAAUCGCUAGUAAUCGUAGAUCAGAAUGCUACGGUGAAUACGUUCCCGGGCCUUGUACACACCGCCCGUCACACCAUGGGAGUGGGUUGCAAAAGAAGUAGGUAGCUUAACCUU
This 466-nucleotide ribosomal RNA is filed under the name Serratia marcescens. RNAcentral's name for it is "bacterial SSU rRNA". It matches the Rfam family "Bacterial small subunit ribosomal RNA", at positions 976 to 1442 of the family's 1533-position model. The record is from RNAcentral. Lineage: Bacteria; Pseudomonadati; Pseudomonadota; Gammaproteobacteria; Enterobacterales; Yersiniaceae.